UACGUAGGGGGCAAGCGUUGUCCGGAUUUAUUGGGCGUAAAGAGCGUGUAGGCGGCCAGGUAGGUCUGCUGUGAAAACUCGAGGCUUAACCUCGAGAUGUCGGCGGAAACCAUCUGGCUAGAGUCCGGAAGAGGAGAGUGGAAUUCCUGGUGUAGCGGUGAUAUGCGCAGAUAUCAGGAAGAACACCCGUGGCGAAGGCGGCUCUCUGGGACGGUACUGACGCUGAGACGCGAAAGCGUGGGGAGCGAACAGG
This 253-nucleotide ribosomal RNA is filed under the name uncultured bacterium. RNAcentral describes it as "partial 16S ribosomal RNA". It matches the Rfam family "Bacterial small subunit ribosomal RNA", at positions 524 to 776 of the family's 1533-position model. The record is from RNAcentral.